GUAGGCCUACACAUGCAAGUCGAACGGCAGCACAGGAGAGCUUGCUCUCUGGGUGGCGAAGUGGCGGACGGGUGAGGAAUGCAUCGGAAUCUACUCUGUCGUUGGGGGGAUAACGUAGGGAAACUUACGCUAAUUACCGCAUACCACUAACGGGUGAAAAGCAGGGGGAACCUUCGGGCCUUUGCCCAAUUUAUUUAACCCCCUUUCCCCCUUUACUUUUUUUGGGGGGGGGUAAAAGGCCCCCCAAAAGGGGAAAAUUUCUUAUUUGUUCCCAAAAAAAAAUAA
Molecule: ribosomal RNA, 285 nt
Filed under: Xanthomonas boreopolis
Lineage: Bacteria; Pseudomonadati; Pseudomonadota; Gammaproteobacteria; Lysobacterales; Lysobacteraceae
Description: [Pseudomonas] boreopolis partial 16S ribosomal RNA
Source: RNAcentral